Molecule: ribosomal RNA, 465 nt
Filed under: uncultured bacterium
Lineage: Bacteria
Description: partial 16S ribosomal RNA
Rfam family: Bacterial small subunit ribosomal RNA
Source: RNAcentral
CCUACGGGGUGCAGCAGUAGGGCAUCUUCCACAAUAGGCGACAGCCUGAUGGCGCAACGCCGCGUGGGUGAAGAAGGUCUUCGGAUCGUACAACCCUGUUGUUAGAGAAGAAAGCGCGUGAGAGUAACUGUUCACGUUUCGACGGUAUCUAACCAGAAAGCCACGGCUAACUACGUGCCAGCAGCCGCGGUAAUACGUAGGUGGCAAGCGUUAUCCGGAUUUAUUGGGCGUAAAGGGAACGCAGGCGGUCUUUUAAGUCUGAUGUGAAAGCCUUCGGCUUAACCGGAGUAGUGCAUUGGAAACUGGGAGACUUGAGUGCAGAAGAGGAGAGUGGAACUCCAUGUGUAGCGGUGAAAGGCGUAGAUAUAUGGAAGAACACCAGUGGCGAAAGCGGCUCUCUGGUCUGUAACUGACGCUGAGGUUCGAAAGCGUGGGUAGCAAACAGGAGUAGAUACCCGGGUAGUC